This 274-nucleotide ribosomal RNA is filed under the name uncultured bacterium. Its description in RNAcentral is "partial 16S ribosomal RNA". It matches the Rfam family "Archaeal small subunit ribosomal RNA", at positions 473 to 747 of the family's 1478-position model. The record is from RNAcentral.
AAACCAGCACCUCAAGUGGUCAGGAGGAUUAUUGGGCCUAAAGCAUCCGUAGCCUGCUCUGUAAGUUUCCGGUUAAAUUCAUUAGCUCAACUAAUGGCCUGCCGGAAAUACUGUAGAGCUAGGAAGUGGGAGAGGUAGACGGUACUCGGUAGGAAGGGGUAAAAUCCUUUGAUCUAUUGAUGACCACCUGUGGCGAAGGCGGUCUACCAGAACACGUUCGACGGUGAGGGAUGAAAGCUGGGGGAGCAAACCGAAUUAGAAACCCCAGUAGUCC